This 72-nucleotide transfer RNA is filed under the name Candidatus Uhrbacteria bacterium. Its description in RNAcentral is "tRNA-OTHER". The record is from RNAcentral. Lineage: Bacteria; Candidatus Uhriibacteriota.
GGGCCCAGUGUGGUCACGUUACCUGAUUCGUCAAUCGCGGUAAUUGGGGUUCGAUUCCCCAUGGGUCCACCA